This 573-nucleotide ribosomal RNA is filed under the name Penicillium sclerotiorum. RNAcentral's name for it is "eukaryotic LSU rRNA". The stretch from base 202 to 355 matches the Rfam family "5.8S ribosomal RNA". Lineage: Eukaryota; Fungi; Ascomycota; Eurotiomycetes; Eurotiales; Aspergillaceae. The record is from RNAcentral.
GUAGGUGACCUGCGGAAGGAUCAUUACUGAGUGAGGGCCCUCUGGGUCCAACCUCCCACCCGUGUUUAUUGUACCUUGUUGCUUCGGCAGGCCCGCCUCACGGCCGCCGGGGGGCUUCUGCCCCCGGGCCCGCGCCUGCCGGAGACAAUCUUGAACGCUGUCUGAAGAAUGCAGUCUGAGCGAUUAAGCAAAAUUAGUUAAAACUUUCAACAACGGAUCUCUUGGUUCCGGCAUCGAUGAAGAACGCAGCGAAAUGCGAUAAUUAAUGUGAAUUGCAGAAUUCAGUGAAUCAUCGAGUCUUUGAACGCACAUUGCGCCCCCUGGUAUUCCGGGGGGCAUGCCUGUCCGAGCGUCAUUGCUGCCCUCAAGCACGGCUUGUUUGUUGGGUCUUGUUCCCCCGGGAACAGGCCCGAAAGGCAGUGGCGGCACCGUCCGAUCCUCGAGCGUAUGGGGCUUUGUCACCCGCUCUGUAGGCCCGGCCGGCGCUUGCCGACCCCAAUCAAUCUUUUUCAGGUUGACCUCGGAUCAGGUAGGGAUACCCGCUGAACUUAAGCAUAUCAAUAAGCGGAGGAA